Long non-coding RNA from Bubalus bubalis (water buffalo), 1189 nucleotides. RefSeq lists it as uncharacterized. The transcript is spliced from 2 exons. NCBI's taxonomy places the organism in Eukaryota, Metazoa, Chordata, Mammalia, Artiodactyla, Bovidae. The record is from RefSeq and is a predicted model, not a curated record.
GAUCAGCUGGGGCUGGACCUCUGCAGGUGGCGCCCGAGACAGGCAUUUCGAAGCUAAAGAUGCUCCUAAAAGUUUAAGAAAACAUCCCUAAUCAGACCAUCCGCUCCUAGGAGGUUGAGGGAAACAUCCCGAUCAGACAGUUCGUAAGAUUUAGUUACCAAACAGUUAAAGGAUCUCCGGAACAGAAGAGGAAAACUUCGGGACGCUCCCAUCCCCCUAUGCCUCCUCCUCCAUGUCGGGGUAAAGGGCCACCGCUAGGAGUUUCCCGGAGAAGGAUUUUCUCUAGUCCCAAGGAUGAACUUGAUCCUCACCUUGAGGCUUCUUUUCUAGUCCCCUCUGCAGUUUAGCCAGGGUAAAGAGGUUACAAAAUAAAUAAAAAUAUUCUCUAAAAUUAAAAAAAAAAUUAAAAAUGGAUUUCUCUGCAUCUAAGAAUAGACAAAUAUUUAUUGACUGUGGAAUAUGAUUAGAAAUGUCCUGGACCUCCGUCACGAGGCUGUUAAAUAGACUAUGGGGGAGGCUAUAGAGGUGGAUGGUGGUGAGUCUCCAUUUACUGCACAGAUCAUAUUUUCUGCCAUUGAAAAAAAAAAAAAAGGAGGGAGAAAGUGGUCUACCUCCCGAGGAAGGAGAGGGCUUACAGGACGCUGCGGCCGAGAGCCCUGGCGAGCUCCCUCCCCCUCUGCGCAAACCUUUAAAAAACUUAUCCACCACUUUCUGAUUUAAGGCGACUGCCACCGCCUUCGAUUGUGCCUCCCAGGACCCAGGAGUUCCCCACUUUGCCCCCAAAGCCUCCCAAAGUGUUGCCUAAGACUGAGGAAGAUAAAAAGUUUUUUAAACAAAGGAGCUUUUAGUACACAAUAUGCAGAGCGUGCUCCUUGGAGAAAACUCCCUCAGGGGGGUCUCACCCAGGCUAGGAGAAAAGCGAAAAGGCAAGGAGAUUUAAUAACAAUAUUAACCCCUGAUGUGCCGCUUACUCCAAUUCCAACCGGAGUGGCUGGCCCCCUAUCUGAGGACAUUGUAAGAUUUGUCCUGGGGCGUAGCUCGCUUUCUUUAAAAAAAAAAUUAAAUAAAAAAAAAAAGAAAGAAAAGAAAUUUCGCUGGUGCAUGGUGUAGUAGAUUCUGAUGAUAUUGAGAAAUUAAAGUCUUGAUCUCACUGCCUAUCAAAACUGUACAAAUUAAUAAAGGUCAAAGA